Manis javanica (Malayan pangolin) is the source of this 1244-nucleotide non-coding RNA. The record is from the annotation of a RefSeq genome assembly. NCBI's taxonomy places the organism in Eukaryota, Metazoa, Chordata, Mammalia, Pholidota, Manidae.
GGAAGGCUGAAGGGCUUCGUCUCUCCGCUCGUGAGCAGGUGUGGCAUGAGGACACCUGAAGAUGCUGAUGUUCCUGUUGCUUCUGGCACCAGGCUCUGGUUUCGGCGCUCUGGUCUCUCAACAUCCAAGCAGGGCUCUCAGGAAGAGCGGAGCCUCUGUGAAGAUGGAGUGCCGCUUGGUGGACUUAGAGGCAUCAACCAUGUUUUGGUAUCAUCAGUCCCCAAAACAGGGCCUCAUAUUGGUGGCAACUUCUAAUCAGGCCUCUGAUGUCAUCUAUGAACAAGGUUUUACCGAGGACAAGUUUCCCAUCAGCCAUCCCAACGUAACAUUUUCAUCUCUGAUGGUGACCAGUGUGCAACGUGCAGACAGCAGCUUUUAUUUCUGUGGUGCUAGUGACACAGCGCUGGGCAGAGAUCAGAGACCCAGACAAGAACCUGUGCAAGGGGCUCCUCUCCCCACCCUACAAGCCUGGGAACCCUGUGGGAGGAGGUGUGGAUAGAGAAAAACCACAGCUUCUCUGAUUGAGACAUCUGUGAACAUGCAUGUGUGCAUCUGUGUGUGUGAGCAUGAUUGUGCAUAUGUGUGCAUCCAUGUGCAUGUGAGCGUGAGUGUGCAUAUGCUUGUGUGUGUGUGUGUGUGUGUGUGAAGAAAGAGACCAAAGAGUGGCUGAGUGUGGUGUGGGGAGAAGGGUCGUGUUUGAGGACCAGCAAAAUGAGAAAGAAAACUGGGCCUGUAAAGUAACCAACUGACAUGGAAAGUUCCCUGGGCUGAAUAUUAUAAAACUUGGGUUUUUUCCUGACUAUAUUACACACACACACACACACUCCCCAGAGGCAUGGUGUUCCCCAGCGGGAACACCAUGAGAAAAUUCAGAGACUUUGAGAGAGUCAGGGUCCCUUAAGUCUCCUGUUUGCUUAGAUAUCCCUGUUCUCCGUAUCCAUUUCUUACUCAAUACCCUACUUUACACAAGAGAUUUGCAAGGUUGUGAGUCAGCUGGCACUGUAAUUCAACAUCUCACAAAAAUAAUUUCCAGAACUGGUUUGCAGGAGCCUCUAUCCAGUCGCUGCAGUACAUGCCACUUCCCAGGUGUCCGAAGAUGAUCGUCUAGAAGCUGCUUCAGAUUCCUGCCACAGCUGCUGGUUUUCCAUUCUGGAAUAGGAAAGCACUGCAACUACUUUUGACUAACCAGUAGUCAAUUUCAAAUACUCCAUAAAUAUUUGAGUGUCUUUUAUCUGUAAUUAACU